This 253-nucleotide ribosomal RNA is filed under the name uncultured bacterium. RNAcentral's name for it is "partial 16S ribosomal RNA". It matches the Rfam family "Bacterial small subunit ribosomal RNA", at positions 524 to 776 of the family's 1533-position model. The record is from RNAcentral.
UACGUAGGGUGCGAGCGUUACUCGGAAUUACUGGGCGUAGAGCGUGCGCAGGCGGUCAGUUAAGUCUGAUGUGAAAGCCCCGGGCUCAACCUGGGAAUGGCAUUGGAAACUGGCUUGCUAGAGUGUGGCAGAGGGGGGUGGAAUUCCGCGUGUAGCAGUGAAAUGCGUAGAGAUGCGGAGGAACACCGAUGGCGAAGGCAGCCCCCUGGGCCGACACUGACGCUCAGGCACGAAAGCGUGGGGAGCAAACAGG